CAGUCGCCGCGGUAAUACGUAGGUGGCAAGCGUUGUCCGGAAUUAGUGGGCGUAAAGCGCGCGCAGGCGGAUCAGUUAGUCUGUCUUAAAAGUUCGGGGCUUAACCCCGUGAGGGGAUGGAAACUGCUGAUCUAGAGUAUCGGAGAGGAAAGUGGAAUUCCUAGUGUAGCGGUGAAAUGCGUAGAUAUUAGGAAGAACACCAGUGGCGAAGGCGACUUUCUGGACGAAAACUGACGCUGAGGCGCGAAAGCCAGGGGAGCGAACGGGAUUAGAUACCCCGGUAGUCCCUGUCUCUUAUACA
RNAcentral lists this ribosomal RNA (301 nucleotides) under uncultured bacterium. RNAcentral's name for it is "partial 16S ribosomal RNA". It matches the Rfam family "Bacterial small subunit ribosomal RNA", at positions 509 to 809 of the family's 1533-position model. The record is from RNAcentral.